CCUACGGGGCGCUGCAGUGGGGAAUAUUGGACAAUGGGCGAAAGCCUGAUCCAGCCAUGCCGCGUGUGUGGAGAAGGCCUUCGGGUUGUAAAGCACUUUCAGUGGGGAAGAAAGCCUUGGGGCUAAUACCCUCGAGGAAGGACAUCACCCACAGAAGAAGCACCGGCUAACUCCGUGCCAGCAGCCGCGGUAAUACGGAGGGUGCGAGCGUUAAUCGGAAUUACUGGGCGUAAAGCGCGCGUAGGCGGUCUGAUAAGCCGGUUGUGAAAGCCCCGGGCUCAACCUGGGAACGGCAUCCGGAACUGUCAGGCUAGAGUGCAGGAGAGGAAGGUAGAAUUCCCGGUGUAGCGGUGAAAUGCGUAGAGAUCGGGAGGAAUACCAGUGGCGAAGGCGGCCUUCUGGACUGACACUGACGCUGAGGUGCGAAAGCGUGGGUAGCAAACAGGAUUAGAUACCCUUGUAGUC
RNAcentral lists this ribosomal RNA (465 nucleotides) under Vreelandella stevensii. RNAcentral describes it as "partial 16S ribosomal RNA". It matches the Rfam family "Bacterial small subunit ribosomal RNA", at positions 338 to 795 of the family's 1533-position model. Lineage: Bacteria; Pseudomonadati; Pseudomonadota; Gammaproteobacteria; Oceanospirillales; Halomonadaceae. The record is from RNAcentral.